RNAcentral lists this small RNA (1151 nucleotides) under Pongo abelii (Sumatran orangutan). RNAcentral describes it as "retained intron". The record is from RNAcentral. Lineage: Eukaryota; Metazoa; Chordata; Mammalia; Primates; Hominidae.
UGACUCCUGCAUCUUCUCCAGUUCUGUGCCAAUGACCCGGAGGUGUUUGUUCAGGCGGCUCUCCUGGCUCAGGAUUACUGUGAUGCCGUUGACCUGAACUUGGGCUGCCCACAGAUGAUAGCUAAGAGAGGUCACUAUGGCGCCUUCCUGCAGGACGAGUGGGACCUGCUCCAAAGAAUGAUUUUGCUGGCCCACGAGAAACUCUCUGUUCCUGUCACGUGCAAAAUCCGUGUCUUCCCGGAGAUUGACAAGACCGUGAGGUACGCCCAGAUGCUGGAGAAGGCCGGCUGCCAGUUGCUGACGGUGCAUGGACGCACCAAGGAGCAGAAGGGGCCCCUGUCGGGUGCAGCAUCCUGGGAGCACAUCAAGGCCGUGCGGAAGGCUGUGGCCAUCCCUGUGUUUGCUAACGGGAACAUCCAGUGCCUGCAGGACGUGGAGCGCUGCCUCCGGGACACGGGUGUGCAGGGCGUCAUGAGCGCAGGUGGGCAGGGCCCAGGACAGCAGCCAGGGCCCCAUGCACACGGCCUGAUACCACCGCCCAGCUCGGUGCCUCCCACUGCCUACUGCCCUCCCCAUGGUGCUGUUUGCAGAUGGUGUUCAUCGAUCCCAGUCUGCUCUGAUGGGCCUGAGCUGGCCUUGUCCCUUGUGAGGUGGCACAGAAGGGUGUCCUGAGUGUCCCAGGCCUUCCUGUGCCGUCCACCUAGAGCAACCCACGAGGUGUCCUUCCCUGCUCCUCCUCCCACAGAGGGCAACCUCCACAACCCCGCCCUGUUCGAGGGCCGGAGCCCUGCCGUGUGGGAGCUGGCCGAGGAGUAUCUGGACAUUGUGCGGGAGCACCCCUGCCCGCUGUCCUACGUCCGGGCCCACCUCUUCAAGCUGUGGCACCACACGCUGCAGGUGCACCAGGAGCUGCGAGAGGAGCUGGCCAAGGUGAAGACCCUGGAGGGCAUCGCUGCCGUGAGCCAGGAGCUGAAGCUGCGGUGUCAGGCAGGCGCUGGGGCUGGUGGGAGCCCGGCCUUGCGGGGGGUGAGGGGCUGGGGCCAUGACCAGGGCCUUGGGCUUUUGCAGGAGGAGAUAUCCAGGCAGGAGGGAGUGAAGCCCACCGGCGACUUGCCCUUCCACUGGAUCUGCCAGCCCUACAUCCGGCCGGG